GAGUGGCGGACUGGUGAGUAACGCGUGGGUGACCUACCCUUGAGAUGGGGAUAGCCAUUAGAAAUAGUGGAUAAUACCGAAUACGCUCACGACCCUGUGGGGAUGUGAGGAAAUCAGGCUACGGCCUGGCUCAAGGAUGGGCCCGCGUCCCAUUAGCUAGUUGGUGAGGUAAAGGCCCACCAAGGCGACGAUGGGUAUCCGGCCUGAGAGGGUGUACGGACACAUUGGGACUGAGAUACGGCCCAAACUCCUACGGGAGGCAGCAGCUAAGAAUAUUCCGCAAUGGACGAAAGUCUGACGGAGCGACGCCGCGUGGAUGAAGAAGGCCGUGAGGUUGUAAAAUCCUUUUGUCGAUGAAGAAUAAGUAUGGUAGGGAAUGACCGUAUGAUGACAUUAGUCGAUGAAUAAGCCCCGGCUAAUUACGUGCCAGCAGCCGCGGUAACACGUAAGGGGCAAGCGUUGUUCGGAAUUAUUGGGCGUAAAGGGCAUGUAGGCGGUUUGGUAAGCCUGGUGUGAAAGGCUGCAGCUUAACUGUAGCAUUGCAUUGGGUACUGCUAGACUUGAAUCACGGAGGGGAAACUAGAAUUCCAGGUGUAGGGGUGGAAUCUGUAGAUAUCUGGAAGAAUACCGGUGGCGAAGGCGGGUUUCUGGCCGAUGAUUGACGCUGAGGUGCGAAAGUGCGGGGAGCAAACAGGAUUAGAU
Molecule: ribosomal RNA, 702 nt
Filed under: uncultured bacterium
Lineage: Bacteria
Description: bacterial SSU rRNA
Rfam family: Bacterial small subunit ribosomal RNA
Source: RNAcentral